UACGGAGGGUGCAAGCGUUGUCCGGAAUCACUGGGCGUAAAGGGUGCGUAGGCGGGUCUUUAAGUCAGAGGUGAAAUCCUGGAGCUCAACUCCAGAACUGCCUUUGAUACUGAGGAUCUUGAGUUCGGGAGAGGUGAGUGGAACUGCGAGUGUAGAGGUGAAAUUCGUAGAUAUUCGCAAGAACACCAGUGGCGAAGGCGGCUCACUGGCCCGAUACUGACGCUGAGGCACGAAAGCGUGGGGAGCAAACAGG
This 253-nucleotide ribosomal RNA is filed under the name uncultured bacterium. RNAcentral's name for it is "partial 16S ribosomal RNA". It matches the Rfam family "Bacterial small subunit ribosomal RNA", at positions 524 to 776 of the family's 1533-position model. The record is from RNAcentral.